GUGGGUGUAGCUCAGUGGUAGAACCCAUGCUUAGCAUGCUUGAGGGUCCUGGGUUCAGUCCCAGUACCCCCA
This 72-nucleotide transfer RNA is filed under the name Camelus bactrianus (Bactrian camel). It matches the Rfam family "tRNA". From Rfam's summary of the family: Transfer RNA (tRNA) molecules are approximately 80 nucleotides in length. Their secondary structure includes four short double-helical elements and three loops (D, anti-codon, and T loops). Lineage: Eukaryota; Metazoa; Chordata; Mammalia; Artiodactyla; Camelidae. RNAcentral also lists the same sequence under 2 other names. The record is from Rfam by way of RNAcentral.